AUUGAACGCUGGCGGCAGGCCUAACACAUGCAAGUCGAACGGUAACAGGAAGAAGCUUGCUUCUUUGCUGACGAGUGGCGGACGGGUGAGUAAUGUCUGGGAAACUGCCUGAUGGAGGGGGAUAACUACUGGAAACGGUAGCUAAUACCGCAUAACGUCGCAAGACCAAAGAGGGGGACCUUCGGGCCUCUUGCCAUCGGAUGUGCCCAGAUGGGAUUAGCUUGUUGGUGGGGUAACGGCUCACCACGGCGACGAUCCCUAGCUGGUCUGAGAGGAUGACCAGCCACACUGGAACUGAGACACGGUCCAGACUCCUACGGGAGGCAGCAGUGGGGAAUAUUGCACAAUGGGCGCAAGCCUGAUGCAGCCAUGCCGCGUGUAUGAAGAAGGCCUUCGGGUUGUAAAGUACUUUCAGCGGGGAGGAAGGGAGUAAAGUUAAUACCUUUGCUCAUUGACGUUACCCGCAGAAGAAGCACCGGCUAACUCCGUG
This 490-nucleotide ribosomal RNA is filed under the name uncultured bacterium. RNAcentral's name for it is "partial 16S ribosomal RNA". It matches the Rfam family "Bacterial small subunit ribosomal RNA", at positions 30 to 507 of the family's 1533-position model. The record is from RNAcentral.